RNAcentral lists this ribosomal RNA (290 nucleotides) under uncultured Rhodomicrobium sp. Its description in RNAcentral is "partial 16S ribosomal RNA". Lineage: Bacteria; Pseudomonadati; Pseudomonadota; Alphaproteobacteria; Hyphomicrobiales; Hyphomicrobiaceae. The record is from RNAcentral.
CUACCGGGGUAUCUAAUCCUGUUUGCUCCCCACGCUUUCGCACAUGAGCGUCAGUUUCGGGCCAGUUGGCCGCCUUCGCCACUGGUGUUCUUCCUAAUAUCUACGAAUUUCACCUCUACACUAGGAAUUCCGCCAACCUCUCCCGAACUCGAAGACAGACAGUAUCAAAGGCAAUUCCGAGGUUGAGCCUCGGGAUUUCACCCCUGACUUAUCAAUCCGCCUGCGUGCGCUUUACGCCCAGUAAUUCCGAACAACGCUAGCCCCCUUCGUAUUACCGCGGCUGCUGGCAC